UGGGGAAUAUUGCACAAUGGGCGCAAGCCUGAUGCAGCCAUGCCGCGUGUGUGAAGAAGGCCUCGGUUGUAAAGCACUUUCAGCGAGGAGGAAGGUGGUGAGCUUAAUACGCUCAUCAAUUGACGUUACUCGCAGAAGAAGCACCGGCUAACUCCGUGCCAGCAGCCCGCGGUAAUACGGAGGGUGCAAGCGUUAAUCGGAAUUACUGGGCGUAAAGCGCACGCAGGCGGUUUUGUUAAGUCAGAUGUGAAAUCCCCGGGCUCAACCUGGGAACUGCAUUUGAAACUGGCAAGCUAGAGUCUCGUAGAGGGGGGUAGAAUUCCAGGUGUAGCGGUGAAAUGCGUAGAGAUCUGGAGGAAUACCGGUGGCGAAGGCGGCCCCCUGGACGAAGACUGACGCUCAGGUGCG
This 408-nucleotide ribosomal RNA is filed under the name uncultured bacterium. RNAcentral's name for it is "partial 16S ribosomal RNA". It matches the Rfam family "Bacterial small subunit ribosomal RNA", at positions 355 to 755 of the family's 1533-position model. The record is from RNAcentral.